RNAcentral lists this ribosomal RNA (478 nucleotides) under uncultured bacterium. RNAcentral describes it as "partial 16S ribosomal RNA". It matches the Rfam family "Bacterial small subunit ribosomal RNA", at positions 28 to 523 of the family's 1533-position model. The record is from RNAcentral.
GACGAACGCUGGCGGCGUGCUUAACACAUGCAAGUCGAACGGAAAGGCCCUUCGGGGUACUCGAGUGGCGAACGGGUGAGUAACACGUGGGUGAUCUGCCCUGCACUUUGGGAUAAGCCUGGGAAACUGGGUCUAAUACCGAACAGGACCGCAUGCUUCAUGGUGUGUGGUGGAAAGCUUUUGCGGUGUGGGAUGGGCCCGCGGCCUAUCAGCUUGUUGGUGGGGUAAUGGCCUACCAAGGCGACGACGGGUAGCCGGCCUGAGAGGGUGACCGGCCACACUGGGACUGAGAUACGGCCCAGACUCCUACGGGAGGCAGCCGUGGGGAAUAUUGCACAGUGGGCGCAAGCCUGAUGCAGCGACGCCGCGUGAGGGAUGACGGCCUUCGGGUUGUAAACCUCUUUCAGCAGGGACGAAGCGCAAGUGACGGUACCUGCAGAAGAAGGACCGGCCAACUACGUGCCAGCAGCCGCCGUAA